Molecule: ribosomal RNA, 252 nt
Filed under: uncultured bacterium
Lineage: Bacteria
Description: partial 16S ribosomal RNA
Rfam family: Bacterial small subunit ribosomal RNA
Source: RNAcentral
UACGUAGGGUGCAAGCGUUAAUCGGAAUUACUGGGCGUAAAGCGUGCGCAGGCGGUUUUGUAAGUCUGAUGUGAAAUCCCGGGCUCAACCUGGGAAUUGCGUUGGAGACUGCAAGGCUAGAAUCUGGCAGAGGGGGGUAGAAUUCCACGUGUAGCAGUGAAAUGCGUAGAGAUGUGGAGGAACACCGAUGGCGAAGGCAGCCCCCUGGGUCAAGAUUGACGCUCAUGCACGAAAGCGUGGGGAGCAAACAGG